RNAcentral lists this long non-coding RNA (934 nucleotides) under Nicotiana tabacum (common tobacco). Its description in RNAcentral is "long non-coding RNA (NTAB_LNC000930)". The record is from RNAcentral. Lineage: Eukaryota; Viridiplantae; Streptophyta; Magnoliopsida; Solanales; Solanaceae.
UUUUCUUUUUCCCCUAUUUAGUUAAAUAGAUAUAUAUAAGCAAAUCAACAAAAAUAAGAUAACGCAUAAGGCUUUCCUCUUUAAUUCCUUUCACUCGUAAUUUAUUCAAUUGAAACACAAAACAUUACAAACGUGAAUUUCCAAUGAGUGUACAGAAAACAGGCCUACAACCUAAAGAAACCAAGUUGUUUCUUUUUUGAAUUAAUGAAUAACAUGAACAUAUUACUCCAAGACGAACCAAUUUACUGAUCAGACUUCUUCUGACUCAGUACAAAAGAUAAAGUUCAGAGCUUCAUAGGCAUAUAUGGUGACUUAAUUGGUGAUCUUCAACAACCACAACGGGUACAACAGGUACCUGGGGGUGUUGGUUCACAACACCCCACACAGUGAAGACAUGCAACAGGAAAACUGCUUCUCCCCGAUAAUACUGCAUAUAUGCGAACAAGAAAAAACAAGUGUUAAUGGCAAUUAUGUACGUAUACCUAUUGCUUAUAUGUUAAAUCCGCCUCAGUCUAGAUUCAUAAUAUUAAUGACACAAAAGUUUUCGAAUUUGAUAACGUGUCUAGUAGUACUAUAUAUGUUUAAUAAAUGAACGUAAAAUAUACCUCGAGGGGCUCUAGCUGCAUCACAUGACGAUAGUAGCAAAGGAGAGAGGAGAAUAGCAUAUAUCAUAAGUGUUAUCACUACGGACCUUACGGAGGUUGAGAGUGCAGCCAUUGCUUAACCUAUACAAUAUACUAUAUGAAAGUACCAACAAUUUUGAGAAUGUUUUAAGAGUUGAUGAAUUUCGAGCACUGCCUAUGGAAGUAUUUAUAUGAAUUAUGACGUUGUACACAGGGUUUAAUUUAUACUCAAUCUUAAAUAUUAUUCUGAUGAUAUCAUUCAAUAUAUACAUUGUUUUGGUACUUAUGAUACUUGGUAUGAAACCGUCGAC